UUGAAACACUGUUUCUUGUACGAUCACUGAAAUUAAGCAAUGUCAAGCCUGUUCAGUACCUAGAUGGGUGACCAUUUGGGAAUACCAGGUGCUGUAAG
Non-coding RNA from Acanthosepion pharaonis, 98 nucleotides. The record is from the annotation of a GenBank genome assembly. Lineage: Eukaryota; Metazoa; Mollusca; Cephalopoda; Sepiida; Sepiidae.